Molecule: long non-coding RNA, 217 nt
Organism: Rana temporaria (common frog)
Lineage: Eukaryota; Metazoa; Chordata; Amphibia; Anura; Ranidae
Exons: 3
Source: RefSeq, a predicted model, not a curated record
CUGUCUCUACUGACAAUAGGCAUUUUUGCUUACUAUUGACAGUUUGCAUAUGUGUUUCCACAUGUGCUUUCCUGAUUUUUCAGAUUAAUUCUAUCAAUGGCUUAAAAUCCUGCUGUGGUUCUCCUGAACUAUUCUGUCUUUCCCUGAGGACUCUGGUUCCUUCCUGUAUGGUCUGCUGUCUUUUGCUGUUUUACCUCUUUGCAUUGUAUGUCUGAAA